This 606-nucleotide small RNA is filed under the name Histoplasma capsulatum var. duboisii H88. RNAcentral describes it as "Histoplasma capsulatum H88 hypothetical RNA". The record is from RNAcentral. Lineage: Eukaryota; Fungi; Ascomycota; Eurotiomycetes; Onygenales; Ajellomycetaceae.
GCAAAAAAGGAGCUAGCAAGCGACGGGGCCCUUGAGGAUGAAGGUCGACCAAGGAGGUUAAGGAGCGGGAGACAGUUCAGUUACGGCCGAAAGGGUUCAAUGGUUCAUUUCCUGAAUUCUUUCCACAUGGCUGUCAAGGAUAAUCCCCGGCCAUUCAGGCAACAACAGCAACGUUUGAGGUUGAGCUGAGCAGGGAUUUGCGUUUAGAAAAGUUGUUGGCGGUGCUUUGAGGAUGUCAUGCAGAAAUGGCAUUUUCUUGCGCUAUUUUGACUGAAAAGGGCGUAGCUGAAGGCGAAGCAUCGCAGGAGUGGGAAUAAUAUGGUUUCGGCAAGGUGUCUUUCACCUUCCUUCUUGAGGACAGUUUAAUGCGCAUGCAGAAUAAGAUUUCAAGAGGAGUGCUAUGACGAUCUUCUUGUUCUUGAUUGGAGUUUCUCAAAAAGCUGUUCUUGUUUCAACCUGCUGCGCAAAAACUUACUUUGGCUCUUUAUUUUGCAUCGAAGAAUCUUCAACAUUAUUUCUUUUCUUUUGCCUCACGCUGCAGAUUCCUUCAGCCAACGGUCAAAGGAAUUCGUAUUCGGGAAGGCUGGCGUCCCUGCGUCUCUAUUG